UCAACGGCCGCGGUAUUCCUGACCGUGCUAAGGUAGCACAAUCAUGAGCCUCUUAAUUAGGGGAUAGAAUGAAUGAAUUAACAAGAAAUAUGCUGUCUCUUUUUUGCUUAUUGAAAUUUAGAUUUAGGUGCAAACUCCUAAAUAAAUCACACAGACAGAAAGACCCUAUAAGCUUUUAUUAUAAUAUAUUAUAAAUAGAAAAAUAUUUAAUUGGGGCGAUUUUAAGUAAAAAACACUUAUUAAAAUAAGAGAUAUACCUCUUUACCUCUAUCUAAUAGCACAUAAGUAAGUUACUAUAGGGAUAACAGGCUAAUACUUCUUGAGAGCACAUAUCAACAGAAGUGCUUAGCACCUCGAUGUUGGCUUAAGGAUCCCAAUUUAUGCAGAAGUAAAAAAGGGGGGUUUGUUCAACCUUUAAUUCCU
RNAcentral lists this ribosomal RNA (423 nucleotides) under Syllis magdalena. RNAcentral describes it as "partial 16S ribosomal RNA". It matches the Rfam family "Bacterial large subunit ribosomal RNA", at positions 1924 to 2596 of the family's 2925-position model. Lineage: Eukaryota; Metazoa; Annelida; Polychaeta; Phyllodocida; Syllidae. The record is from RNAcentral.